GUUGUGGACCAGUGGUUAGCGCGUUGGACUCCGGAUCGAGCGGUCCGGGUUUGAGCCCUGGCUGGGGUU
This is a non-coding RNA of Desmophyllum pertusum, 69 nucleotides long. NCBI's taxonomy places the organism in Eukaryota, Metazoa, Cnidaria, Anthozoa, Scleractinia, Caryophylliidae. The record is from the annotation of a GenBank genome assembly.